Molecule: ribosomal RNA, 1105 nt
Filed under: uncultured eukaryote
Lineage: Eukaryota
Description: bacterial SSU rRNA
Rfam family: Eukaryotic small subunit ribosomal RNA
Source: RNAcentral
UGCCAGCAGCCGCGGUAAUUCCAGCUCCAAUGGCGUAUAAUAAUGCUGUUGCUGUUAAAAAGCUCGUAGUUCGACAAGGAUCUGGACUGGAGCGAAGCUCGAGUGCGCAACUUGUUGCCACUUGCAGUUAGCUCCAAUUGGUCUAGAUCCUUCUAUUGACGGCGUUGUCUGGAUUGGACGCUCUUCAUUGCGCGCGAGAUCAACUCCGCAGCAACCAUCUGCACAAGGACAAGCCGUUGUGGUACUGUGAACAAAACAGCGUGCUUCAAGCGAGCGUUUAUAUGCCUGAAUGUUCAAGCAUGGGAUACCAAGGAAGCGACCAAUCGACCAGUCUUUGCUGGCCUUCUAUGAUCGUGUUGGAUAAGAGAGCUAAAGAAUAUCGGUGGAACGGCUGCUGUCUCUUCGGAGCGGUAGUCAGCUCUCUCGAAGCUUCAGUUCAACGGAAUUAGCAGGGGCGAACGGAGGCUGUACGUAUUGGUGCGGCGAGAGGUGAAAAUUCUUAGACUCGCCACCAAGACGAACCUAAGCGAAGGCAUUCAGCUAGUGGACCUUUCAUUAAUCAAGAGCGAGAGUGCAGGGAUCGAAGAUGAUCAGAUACCCGUCGUAGUCUGCUACUGUAAACUAUGCAAACUCGGGGAUCGGCUACCGCAUAUCUUUCAUGAUCACAAAGCCGGAACCUCGACUUCCUCCCUGUUAGCGAAAGCAUUAAGUUUAUGUGUUCAGGGGGAGAGUACAGUUGCAAGGCUGAAACUUAAAGGAAUUGACGGAAUGACACCACAAGGCGUGGAUGCUGCGGCUUAAUUUGACUCAACGCGAGGAAAUUUACCAGGUCAGGACGCAAGUUGGAUUGACAGAUUGAAAGCUCUUUCUUGAUUUUGUGUAUGGUGGUGCAUGGCCGCUCCUGGUUCGUGGAGUGAUUUGUCUGGUUGAUUCCGGUAACGAACGAGAUCUUGACCGUUCAAUGACAGAUUGAUCGUUACAUGUAGUUUGACUCUCAUGCGCUUGCGUAUCGUGACGUUGGAUGAGAUCUAUCCUUGUACUCAACGGGACUACGUGUGUUGACAACACGUGGAAGUGCAAGCCAAUAGCAGGUCUGUGAUGCCCA